This 423-nucleotide ribosomal RNA is filed under the name uncultured bacterium. RNAcentral's name for it is "bacterial SSU rRNA". It matches the Rfam family "Bacterial small subunit ribosomal RNA", at positions 29 to 498 of the family's 1533-position model. The record is from RNAcentral.
AACGAACGCUGGCGGCAUGCCUAACACAUGCAAGUCGAACGAGACCUUCGGGUCUAGUGGCGCACGGGUGCGUAACGCGUGGGAAUCUACCCUUGGGUUCGGAAUAACUCAGAGAAAUUUGAGCUAAUACCGGAUGAUGUCGCAAGACCAAAGAUUUAUCGCCCAAGGACGAGCCCGCGUAGGAUUAGCUUGUUGGUGAGGUAAAAGCUCACCAAGGCGACGAUCCUUAGCUGGUCUGAGAGGAUGAUCAGCCACACUGGGACUGAGACACGGCCCAGACUCCUACGGGAGGCAGCAGUGGGAAUAUUGGACAAUGGGCGAAAGCCUGAUCCAGCAAUGCCGCGUGAGUGAUGAAGCCUUAGGGUUGUAAAGCUCUUUUACCCGGGAUGGAUAAUGACAGUACCGGGAGAAUAAGCCCCGGCU